This 253-nucleotide ribosomal RNA is filed under the name uncultured bacterium. RNAcentral's name for it is "partial 16S ribosomal RNA". It matches the Rfam family "Bacterial small subunit ribosomal RNA", at positions 524 to 776 of the family's 1533-position model. The record is from RNAcentral.
UACAGAGGUGGCAAGCGUUGUUCGGAAUUACUGGGCGUAAAGGGCGCGUAGGCGGCCUACUAAGUCAGACGUGAAAUCCCUCAGCUUAACUGGGGAACUGCGUGUGAUACUGGAUGGCUUGGAUUUGGGAGAGGGAUGCGGAAUUCCAGGUGUAGCGGUGAAAUGCGUAGAUAUCUGGAGGAACACCGGUGGCGAAGGCGGCAUCCUGGACCAAUAUUGACGCUGAGGAGCGAAAGCCAGGGGAGCAAACGGG